AUACGUAGGGUGCGAGCGUUGUCCGGAAUUACUGGGCGUAAAGAGCUCGUAGGUGGUUUGUCGCGUCGUCUGUGAAAUUCCGGGGCUUAACUCCGGGCGUGCAGGCGAUACGGGCAUAACUUGAGUACUGUAGGGGAGACUGGAAUUCCUGGUGUAGCGGUGAAAUGCGCAGAUAUCAGGAGGAACACCGGUGGCGAAGGCGGGUCUGUGGGCAGUAACUGACGCUGAGGAGAGAAAGCAUGGGUAGCGAACAGGAUUAGAUACCCUGGUAGUCCAUGCCGUAAACGGUGGGCGCUAGGUGUAGGGGUCUUCCACGACUUCUGUGCCGUAGCUAACGCAUUAAGCGCCCCGCCUGGGGAGUACGGCCGCAAGGCUAAAACUCAAAGGAAUUGACGGGG
RNAcentral lists this ribosomal RNA (398 nucleotides) under uncultured bacterium. RNAcentral's name for it is "partial 16S ribosomal RNA". It matches the Rfam family "Bacterial small subunit ribosomal RNA", at positions 523 to 918 of the family's 1533-position model. The record is from RNAcentral.